This 253-nucleotide ribosomal RNA is filed under the name uncultured bacterium. RNAcentral's name for it is "partial 16S ribosomal RNA". It matches the Rfam family "Bacterial small subunit ribosomal RNA", at positions 524 to 776 of the family's 1533-position model. The record is from RNAcentral.
GACGUAGGAGGCGAGCGUUAUCCGGAUUCACUGGGCGUAAAGCGCAUGUAGGCGGAUGCACAAGUCCGAUGUUAAAGCCCCUGGCUCAACUGGGGGAGGUCAUUGGAGACUGUGCGUCUUGAGGGCAACAGAGGCACGUGGAACUCCCGGUGUAGCGGUGGAAUGCGUAGAGAUCGGGAAGAACACCCGUGGCGAAGGCGGCGUGCUGGGUUGCGACUGACGCUGAGAUGCGAAAGUGUGGGGAGCAAACGGG